GGCCGAGUGGCGGAAUUGGCAGACGCACAGGACUUAAAAUCCUGCGAUGGGUAACCAUCGUGCGGGUUCGAUCCCCGCCUCGGCCACCU
RNAcentral lists this transfer RNA (89 nucleotides) under Blastopirellula marina. RNAcentral's name for it is "tRNA-Leu". It matches the Rfam family "tRNA". Rfam says of the family: Transfer RNA (tRNA) molecules are approximately 80 nucleotides in length. Their secondary structure includes four short double-helical elements and three loops (D, anti-codon, and T loops). Lineage: Bacteria; Pseudomonadati; Planctomycetota; Planctomycetia; Pirellulales; Pirellulaceae. RNAcentral also lists the same sequence under 1 other name. The record is from RNAcentral.